RNAcentral lists this ribosomal RNA (273 nucleotides) under uncultured Staphylococcus sp. RNAcentral describes it as "partial 16S ribosomal RNA". It matches the Rfam family "Bacterial small subunit ribosomal RNA", at positions 89 to 355 of the family's 1533-position model. The record is from RNAcentral. Lineage: Bacteria; Bacillati; Bacillota; Bacilli; Caryophanales; Staphylococcaceae.
ACGUUAGCGGCGGACGGGUGAGUAACACGUGGGUAACCUACCUAUAAGACUGGGAUAACUUCGGGAAACCGGAGCUAAUACCGGAUAAUAUUUCGAACCGCAUGGUUCGAUAGUGAAAGGUGGUUUUGCUAUCACUUAUAGAUGGACCCGCGCCGUAUUAGCUAGUUGGUAAGGUAACGGCUUACCAAGGCGACGAUACGUAGCCGACCUGAGAGGGUGAUCGGCCACACUGGAGCUGAGACNCGGUCCAGACUCCUACGGGAGGCAGCAGUC